RNAcentral lists this ribosomal RNA (465 nucleotides) under uncultured bacterium. RNAcentral describes it as "partial 16S ribosomal RNA". It matches the Rfam family "Bacterial small subunit ribosomal RNA", at positions 28 to 507 of the family's 1533-position model. The record is from RNAcentral.
GACGAACGCUGGCGGCGUGCUUAACACAUGCAAGUCGAACGGAAAGGCCCCUUCGGGGGUACUCGGGUGGCGAACGGGUGAGUAACACGUGAGUAACCUGCCCUUGACUUCGGGAUAACUUCAGGAAACUGGGGCUAAUACCGGAUAGGAAUCCUUGCUGCAUGGUGGGGGUUGGAAAGCUUCGGCGGUUUUGGAUGGACUCGCGGCUUAUCAGCUUGUUGGUGGGGUAGUGGCUUACCAAGGCCUUGACGGGUAGCCGGCCUGAGAGGGCGACCGGCCACAUUGGGACUGAGAUACGGCCCAGACUCCUACGGGAGGCAGCAGUGGGGAAUAUUGCACAAUGGGCGGAAGCCUGAUGCAGCAACGCCGCGUGCGGGAUGACGGCCUUCGGGUUGUAAACCGCUUUCAGCAGGGGCGAAGCUUGUGGUGACGGUACCUGCAGAAGAAGCACCGGCUAACUACGUG